RNAcentral lists this long non-coding RNA (352 nucleotides) under Pan troglodytes (chimpanzee). Its description in RNAcentral is "long non-coding RNA NONPTRT012037". Lineage: Eukaryota; Metazoa; Chordata; Mammalia; Primates; Hominidae. The record is from RNAcentral.
AAGAAAAAUUUUUGCUCUCAAUGAGCUUGCAUUUAAGCAUCUAUAAAAGGUGUCCACAGUGCCCAGAUGUGUGGUCAAACAUUAUCCUGGAUGUUUCUGUGUUUUUAGGUGAGAUUAAUAUUUACUCAGUGAACUUUGAAUAAAGCAUUGGGUGCUUCAUUAGGUGGAUGAGUCUCAUCCAAUCAGUUGAAGGUGACUGAAUAGAACCAUAGAUCGACCUCACAUAAAUGAGAGGGAAUUCUGCAACAGAUCAUCUUUGCCUUUGAACUGCAGCGUGGACUCCCCUCUGUGUCUCCUGCCUGCCAGCCCACCCUGCAGAGUUUGCAUUUGCCAGCCUCCACAAUCAGGUGAG